Molecule: ribosomal RNA, 434 nt
Filed under: uncultured bacterium
Lineage: Bacteria
Description: partial 16S ribosomal RNA
Rfam family: Bacterial small subunit ribosomal RNA
Source: RNAcentral
AGCGAACGCUGGCGGCAGGCUUAACACAUGCAAGUCGAACGGCAUAGCAAUAUGUCCGUGGCAGACGGGUGAGUAACGCGUGGGAACGUACCUUUUGGUUCGGAACAACACAGGGAAACUUGUUCUAAUACCGGAUAAGCCCUUACGGGGAAAGAUUUAUCGCCGAAAGAUCGGCCCGCGUCUGAUUAGCUAGUUGGUAGGGUAAUGGCCUACCAAGGCGACGAUCAGUAGCUGGUCUGAGAGGAUGAUCAGCCACAUUGGGACUGAGACACGGCCCAAACUCCUACGGGAGGCAGCAGUGGGGAAUAUUGGACAAUGGGCGAAAGCCUGAUCCAGCCAUGCCGCGUGAGUGAUGAAGGCCCUAGGGUUGUAAAGCUCUUUUGUGCGGGAAGAUAAUGACGGUACCGCAAGAAUAAGCCCCGGCUAACUUCGUG